Molecule: ribosomal RNA, 845 nt
Filed under: uncultured archaeon
Lineage: Archaea
Description: SSU rRNA
Rfam family: Archaeal small subunit ribosomal RNA
Source: RNAcentral
UACUCGCGGUCCAAGUCGCAGCCAUCUUUAUUGGGUCUAAAACAUCCGUAGCUUGCUUAGCAAGUUCCUUGUGAAAUCCUAUGUCUCAAAUAUAGGGCGGGCAAGGAGUACUAUUAAGCUAGAGACUGGAAGACGUAAGAAGUAUGUUCAAAGUAGCGGUAAAAUGUGUUAAUCUUGAACAGACUAACAAUAGCGAAGGCAUCUUACGAGGACAGUUCUGACAGUAAGGGAUGAAGGCUAGGGGCGCAAAACGGAUUAGAUACCCGUGUAGUCCUAGCAGUAAACACUGCACACUAAACAUUAGUACCUCUUCGAGAGGUAUUAGUGCUGAAGGGAAGCCGAAGAGUGUGCUACCUGGGAAGUAUAGUCGCAAGGCCGAAACUUAAAGGAAUUGGCGGGGAGACACUACAACGAGUGACGCGUGCGGUUCAAUUAGAUUCUACACCGUGAACCUCACCAGGAGCGACAGCAGAAUGAAGGUCAGUCUAAAGGGCUUACCUGACACGCUGAGCGGAGUUGCAUGGCCGACGUCAGCCUGUGCCGUGAGGUGACCUGUUAAAUCAGGUAACAGGCAAGACCCACAUCUAUAUUUACUAAGUGUACAAUAUAGAGAUUGCUGUGGUAACGCAGAUGAAAGUGUGGGCUACGUUAGGUGAGUACAGCCCUAAUCCCCUGGGCGACACGCGCGCGUCAAUGGUGGAUACAACGGGAUGCAACACUGAAAAGUGAAGCUAAUCUCUUAAAGUCCAUCUUAGUUUAGAUCGAGGUUUGUAACUCAGCCUCGUGACACUGGAAUUCGUAGUAAUCGUUUGUUGUCAACGAACGGUGAAUAUGUCACUGUCUCU